UGCAAAGUAUUUCUUUGGUUGAAAUAAAGGUAAAUACUGUACAUUUUUUUUAAAAGUGUCAAUUUAACAAAGACUAAUAGCGAAAAAUCAAUGGUGGUAUUACACCUAUUUAGGGAAACUAAAUGUGCACUCGUGACCCUAUUGUACUUUCAUUUUUAAAAGUUAUUAAUAAACCAGUUCAUACAUUGUAAACAUGGACUAUUCGGAAUGGAUUUAGACACAGAAAGUACGUUUGAGGUAAAAUUGCAUUGAUAUGGGGGUUUACGGGUGUUUUCUAAGUGAAAUGGGUGGACAGACGAAGCUGUAUUUAGGUUACUGUGUUAAAUUUUAAAUUACCCUUACAGUUUUGGUUUUGUUUAUACAACAUGUGAAUUUUUUAUUUCAGUGUUAACCAUGUUUUGAAGAGCAUUCUGUUGAAAAAUCUUAUAUGUGAAUUGGUCUGCAGAUGACACUUCAGCAUCAAAGUAUGUAUCAACUAUCAUCAUGUUUUUUUGUGUUUUGGCCGCAAAAGUUUACAAUUUGCCAUUGUGCCGUCUACAUUUUGCACAGACAAUAACUCAUCUAAACACUUAUUUGUCCUGGAUUUAUACACAUCAGAAUCCAGUCUCACAUACUUAAACUUUAUAAUUCUUACCAAUUAUUUUUUUGUACCAGCAUUCCAAGGGACAUAACCCUUUUUAAAACAUUUUGAGGUAUUUUUUGUAUUACUCUUUCUCCCCAUUUCUUAAUGUAAAAUACAAGAAAAGUGGACUUUUUGUGUAAAUCUAUUAGAAAUAUACUGUUAUGAGUAAAUAAAAAGACUUUGAUACCAGUAGCAAUAAAUGAUUCACUGAAAGGGAACGGUUAUUUGUCACACUAGGGGAACAGACCAAAAACUCAAGUUACACAUAAGGGCUUAUAGAAACUUCCGUGUAGACUGUUAACAUUUAUAGAGACAGUACUUUCAGCUAAAACACUUUAAUUAUUGAUUAAACUUAACAUUUAUUUCAUUUUUGUGGGAAAAUAAUCACAUUUCUUUUAUUUUUUAGACAAAAGAUAUCAAGUUUUGAAGAAAAAGGAAGGAGAAGGAAAAAUGGACCAACAUAGACCAAAACAAACCUUCAAAUGAACUCUAAAAGGUGC
RNAcentral lists this long non-coding RNA (1122 nucleotides) under Mytilus galloprovincialis (Mediterranean mussel). The record is from RNAcentral. Lineage: Eukaryota; Metazoa; Mollusca; Bivalvia; Mytilida; Mytilidae.